RNAcentral lists this ribosomal RNA (159 nucleotides) under Russula delica. Its description in RNAcentral is "5.8S ribosomal RNA". It matches the Rfam family "5.8S ribosomal RNA". Rfam says of the family: 5.8S ribosomal RNA (5.8S rRNA) is a component of the large subunit of the eukaryotic ribosome. It is transcribed by RNA polymerase I as part of the 45S precursor that also contains 18S and 28S rRNA. Lineage: Eukaryota; Fungi; Basidiomycota; Agaricomycetes; Russulales; Russulaceae. The record is from RNAcentral.
UACAACUUUCAACAACGGAUAUNCGGCUCUCGCAUCGAUGAAGAACGCAGCGAAAUGCGAUACGUAAUGUGAAUUGCAGAAUUCAGUGAAUCAUCGAAUCUUUGAAUGCACCUUGCGCCCCUUGGCAUUCCGAGGGGCACACCCGUUUGAGUGUCGUGA